GAUGAAGAACGUAGCGAAAUGCGAAAAGUAGUGUGAAUUGCAGAAUUCAGUGAAUCAUCGAGUCUUUGAACGCACAUUGCGCCCCCUGGUAUUCCGGGGGGCAUGCCUGUCCGAGCGUCAUUGCUGCCCUCAAGCACGGCUUGUGUGUUGGGCCCCGUCCCCUCCCCCGGGGACGGGCCCGAAAGGCAGCGGCGGCACCGCGUCCGAUCCUCGAGCGUAUGGGGCUUUGUCACCCGCUCUGUAGGCCCGGCCGGCGCCAGCCGACACCCAACUUUUAUUUCUAAGGUUGACCUCGGAUCAGGUAGGGAUACCCGCUGAACUUAAGCAUAUCAAUAAGCGGAGGA
RNAcentral lists this unclassified non-coding RNA (344 nucleotides) under soil metagenome. RNAcentral's name for it is "partial contains 5.8S ribosomal RNA, internal transcribed spacer 2, and large subunit ribosomal RNA". The stretch from base 1 to 120 matches the Rfam family "5.8S ribosomal RNA", at positions 35 to 154 of the family's 154-position model. The record is from RNAcentral.